AUGAACCAAACGUCGAGUUAAGGGGCCUAAACGAAUGCUCAUUCAGAUCCCAUCGAAAGGUGUUGGUUGCUAUAGACAGCAGGACGGUGGCCAUGGAAGUUGGAAUCCGCUAAGGAGUGUGUAACAACUCACCUGCCGAAGCAACUAGCCCUUAAAAUGGUAUGGCGCUCAAGCAUUCUCCCGAUACUCGACCGCCGGGGCACUACAGGCUACUUCUUUUUAAGAAGAGGUCUCGAAGCCCCGGUGAGUAGGAGGGUCGCGGUGGUGAGCGCCGAAGGGUUCGGCGUGAGCCGGCCUGGAGCCUCCACCGGUGCAGAUCUUGGUGGUAGUAGCAAAUAAUCGAGAGAGACUUCCUUGAAGGCCGAAGUGGAGAAGGGUUCCA
This 382-nucleotide ribosomal RNA is filed under the name Scyllarus pygmaeus. RNAcentral describes it as "eukaryotic LSU rRNA". It matches the Rfam family "Eukaryotic large subunit ribosomal RNA", at positions 1163 to 1511 of the family's 3401-position model. The record is from RNAcentral. Lineage: Eukaryota; Metazoa; Arthropoda; Malacostraca; Decapoda; Scyllaridae.